GUUUACCCAUGAGUCAGAUAAGAAACUAAUGGUUUUAGAGGAAUACCAUCAAACAUCAAAUCCUUCAUCCUUCUAUCAGAUUAGAUAGAAAAAUUGCAGGGGGGAAUCGAUUCUAUGGUUGUUUGAUGGCGGUGGGUUUAGCCGAAGAUGUAGAGAGGUUGUGUCGUGACGGUGGUUCUGCCACCGGUGAUCACCAUUUGGGCUCCGUUCCAACACAGUAGAUCAGAAACCACAAACCUCAUGUUAGAGUUUUCAUACGCAAAGAGUAAGAGACUAAGAGAGAGAAAGACCUUACGGUGUACAGAAGGAGAGAGACAGGCGAUGGGGUUUAGGGUUCCGCCUCCUCCCUGACCUUCUUCAAAACUAUUCAAAGAGAGAGAACAGCGUAGCGGCUCCGGAAUAGAGAGAGAAGGAUGACAGAUUAGAAUGCUUGCCUGCCACCGAUCUGCCGUUGAAAGGCGCAGAAGAACGAAAGGAGCAUAUUCCAACCUGAUUUCACUUGGGUUGUUUCCUCUGUAGCUUUCGAGGCAGCGCCCACUUCCAAUUUCAUCAGCAAUUGUUUUUAUCCAGGAACAAAACAUGUGAUAUACAAACCGUUUCAUCAAGGAGCAAAUUUUGGUUGUAGAUUGUUUAGGAGUUCUGGCUAGAACCAAUAAGGAGCAAUAAAGUUUUAGGAGCCGAUUGUCAUGUCAACAUUGGACAAAUCACUAGUUCUAAUAAGCUAAAGGAAUCUAUUGUUCUUUUGUGUUGGUGCCACUUUGGUAAGGUUUGGAAAUUCAACCAAGACCCAAGAAAGGCUCCGGGCGACUCAUGCGACUACAAAUGAUUCAUGAAGAUAAUUAGCUAAGCCUCAUUGAAGAUUCAAGCUUCCGAUGUGGAAUGAUGACGCAAGAAGAUUUCAAAUUUCAGCAUUGAAAAAUGAAAUUUGGGAAUUUUCGGGAUUGCUUUUCAUAUCACGAUUCAACCAUGGUGUGUAGGAAGGAUGCCACCUAUGUUAUCAUAAAGCUUGAUGUUUGAGGGUGAUUAUAUCAAAUGGGAAAAGAAAAGAAAUAUCAUUCCAUGGAAGUUGCUUAUGUAUAAAAGUGGAGAUCUUAAAUAGGAGAGGAUAAUGUUCGUGAACUUCCACUAGCUCAAGUUCCUAAGUUGGCUACAAAAGUUGAGUAGCAGCAAUGCGUCAAAACAACAAAGCAACCAUGAAGUUAAAAACUUCGCUUGAUGUCAUAUGCUAUAGCGCGUGUUGGCGAUGUUUCGACAUUCGUUGCCCGCGCCGCAACGCGUGCGGGGUCUAAUUUCUAGUUAUAUAUAAAAAGCAA
RNAcentral lists this long non-coding RNA (1313 nucleotides) under Helianthus annuus (common sunflower). Its description in RNAcentral is "hypothetical non coding rna". Lineage: Eukaryota; Viridiplantae; Streptophyta; Magnoliopsida; Asterales; Asteraceae. The record is from RNAcentral.